This is an RNA transcript of Triticum aestivum (bread wheat), 1754 nucleotides long. RefSeq lists it as uncharacterized. NCBI's taxonomy places the organism in Eukaryota, Viridiplantae, Streptophyta, Magnoliopsida, Poales, Poaceae. The record is from RefSeq and is a predicted model, not a curated record. The transcript is spliced from 8 exons.
GGCACGAUAGGGCUGCGUGUGCAUCAACCAACUAGACUGCCGACUCCUCCUUCCGCCCCUACACCACACAGGGCACACCCCUCACGAUCUAGGCCAAGGGAAAAACCUAGGUGCGCCGCCACCGUGGUCGCCGCCGGAGAGAUAUAGAGAGAACCGAUUUGCCUGAGAAGUGACUCAGUUCCCAUGCUUGUCCCCUUCACUUCCUCUAUCUCUCACUCACAUACGAUGUCGACAAGGACGAGACGGAGAUAUUGGGUGCGAGGGGAGCUCCAGAAAACGAUGGAGGUGUGCCCGUCCCGUCCCGUGGUCGACAGGGCAUGGCACUCCUGUCACGCGAAAAGGGAUUCAAAUUUGGAGUCCGGCUAUGGUGAGGGCCGUAGUGCAUGAGGGAGAAGUUGGGGCUAUGGAUUCACGAGAAACUCACCCAAACGCCUUCUUCAGUAGCUGCCUGGGCGGUCGGCACCGGCUCGACCUGCAACGAACUCCGGGUGCUCCUCGACGUCAUGGGCGCACCCCUUUUGCGCUUGCGCAUGUACAUGUCGCUGAGCCGCCCCUGCAUCUCAGCAUCAAGGACACUCAAAUGUCUCCAAUCACUGGUUGCAAAAAUGGUUCCUCCUUACAGGAUUAAGGAGCUCAUGGCAGAGGACCACAGUGAGGCUACAUCGUGGCUAUGGCUUCCAUCUCGGAGAUUGGAGUACUUUAGCAGGGACUGAAAUUGAUAUUGUAAUUCUUCAAAUUAUGUAUAUAACUGUAGCUGCCUGGGCGGUCGGCGCCGGCUCGACCUGCAACGAACUCCGGGUGCUCCUCGACGUCAUGGGCGCACCCCUUUUGCGCUUGUGCAUGUACAUGUCGCUGAGCCGCCCCUGCAUCUCAACAUCAAGGACACUCAAAUGUCUCCAAUCGAUUAAGGAGCUCAUGGCGGAGGACCACAGUGAGGCUACAUCGUGGCUAUGGCUUCCAUCUCGGAGAUUGGAGUACUUUAGCAGGGACUGAAAUUGAUAUUGUAAUUCUUCAAAUUAUGUAUAUAACUAGUAAGAAGGAAAUCAAAUCGCCAAAGGAUCAUAUUAUUUACGGUACCAUUACAGUCAUCUGAAUAUCGCAUUUGUUGAAUCCUAAGCUAUUCCAAGCCAUCUUGAUUAGUGACAUGUUCCUUUUUUAAGGUUAUGUCAUGGCCAGUUCGUUAUCAAGCAAAUCCAAAUGAUUUUACUUCCUGCAGUGUUGGAUAUAUAGCAAUGACUGCAUGGGUUUUCUGCUGGUACUACAAAGCUUUCAUGAAGGUCAAUGCUCAUGGAGGGAUGGUGAGAGAGGAAUUCGGUGGGGGGCAUUGGUCUCUGGGAUAAUGGGGGAUAAAGAGAGUAAUGUGGCUGUUCUUCUUAAGUUGCUUACAAGUUUGUAGUAAUUAUGGUGUUUCCCAAUCUGAUGUGUAUUUGGCUUGAUGAGUAUGAGGCUAGGAGUUUGGACCAACUGCUAACAUUACGGAGCUUCCUGCCAUGUUUAUGGUGUUGAAUCUAUUGAAUUUUAGACUAUGAUUGCUGAGUAUGAAAAGGAAUUAAAAUUUGAUUUCAGCUGUAAUAACGUGUGGUCCUUUCUUUCUUGCAUCUUUAAUGAUGUAGUUUGGUUUUGUGGUGACAUCUACAAUAUAAGCAGUUUAGCACUGAUAGCAGGGACACUUCAUGGGAUGAAGGAAAUUUUUAUUGGCUUUGAUACCUCUUAAAGUAUGCAUUCUAGAUUUCUGUGUGACUGAUUUGAUGAUA